RNAcentral lists this small nuclear RNA (28 nucleotides) under Arabidopsis thaliana (thale cress). Its description in RNAcentral is "snRNA_18292". Lineage: Eukaryota; Viridiplantae; Streptophyta; Magnoliopsida; Brassicales; Brassicaceae. The record is from RNAcentral.
CACGUCUUGUUUUCAUCUUCUUAGAUCU